AUGAAUUGGAAAGGCCCUCAUCAAUCAUCUAAGCAAAUCCAUAUGGGAAAGGAAUCUCUACUACAAUAUAUAUAUAACAAAUGGUCAUUCUGCAUCCUCUUGAAGAUCUCCAAAGGGAAAGGCAUCACAUCUCAAGAGCUGUACAGAGGCAAGUCACAAUCCUCUUCCAUGAAAGCGUUCCUCAAAUACUUAAAGAUAGUUAUCAUGUAUAUGCUUCCUCCAUCUAGUCCUUGUAAGUUGAUUUUCAUACCUAAGUGUAUGAUUUUACAUUUAUUCCUAUUAAAUUUCAUCUUAUUAGAUAUAGCCCACUGCUCAAGCCUGUGCCAUUUAUUAAGCUCUCUUUAGUGUGGUGAUAAUGCUGUUGGAAGUUCUCCAAAGAACACUGAGACCUCCAGCCUUCCAAAUGCUUACAGUCUAGUGCAUAAACAUGGGGAAAUCUACAUAAGAAUUGAGAUCUACAAAUCAGAUGUAAAAAUCAAAUAAUGUGUUUACAUAAUGCAAAAGUAAUACAGUUGCAUCAGCUAUCCUCCAACCAGAGAAAAGUAAAAGUAAAAUGUUAUAUGAAGUUAAACAGAUUGCAUUUUUCUUCUGGGGAUGGUGUCAGGAGGAAGAAGUGAAAAGGUCACACAUGGCUAGAGGAACAAAGGCAAAGCCUUACAUAACCAGUGUCGGCUGGUGCACUAUGUCUAAACUUGGACUUUAGGCAUGGAGUGACUUUAUUCUUACUAAUAAGUUUCACAUGCAAGAUAGUUCUUUUAGCAGUCUGUUAGUAACUCAAAAAUGCCUGAAAUAGCCUCAGCAGCCUGCAAAGACAGAAACCAAACAAGUUGACCUAAAAGCAGAAGCAACAGAAGUUAGUUUUCCUCAAAGCACAACUAGGCGUUUGCCUAUGGAGUAAGUUUGCCUUUUUAUACUUUUCCAGGAUGAAGGAGAGAAGGGGGUUAUAGCCUGUUGCUGCUGGGAGCAUUGCCUGGUGGCCUGGUACCAUGGGAAUUUCUUUGCCUUGCUUCAUUGAGGAUAUGGAAAUAUAUACAAUUCAAAAAAGAUCAUAGGAUUUAGAGUAAGAAAAGACCUCCAAGACUGAAUUCCUUAAGCCUGGAUUUGGGCAUAUAUCCUGCUCAGGCAUUAUAUACUUAAAUAUCAUAUAAGAGGAACAGUUUUUAUUCUUUUAUAUUUGUGUUCUUUCAAUAAACCUGAGACUCAUUCAGGACCA
Molecule: long non-coding RNA, 1213 nt
Filed under: Monodelphis domestica (gray short-tailed opossum)
Lineage: Eukaryota; Metazoa; Chordata; Mammalia; Didelphimorphia; Didelphidae
Description: lncRNA (ENSMODG00000044481.1)
Source: RNAcentral